GGGGGGGGGGGGCGGGGGGGCUGGCGGGGGCAGGUCGGGCGGGGGAGGGGGGCUUGCUCCUGGAUUCAGCGGCGGACGGGUGAGUAAUGCCUAGGAAUCUGCCUGGUAGUGGGGGAUAACGUCCGGAAACGGGCGCCAAUACCGCAUACGUCCUGCGGGAGAAAGUGGGGGAGCUUCGGACCUCACGCUAUCAGAUGAGCCUAGGUCGGAUUAGCUAGUUGGUGGGGUAAAGGCCUACCAAGGCGACGAUCCGUAACUGGUCUGAGAGGAUGAUCAGUCACACUGGAACUGAGACACGGUCCAGACUCCUACGGGAGGCAGCAGUGGGGAAUAUUGGACAAUGGGCGAAAGCCUGAUCCAGCCAUGCCGCGUGUGUGAAGAAGGUCUUCGGAUUGUAAAGCACUUUAAGUUGGGAGGAAGGGCAGUAAGUUAAUACCUUGCUGUUUUGACGUUACCAACAGAAUAAGCACCGGCUAACUUCGUG
Molecule: ribosomal RNA, 484 nt
Filed under: uncultured bacterium
Lineage: Bacteria
Description: partial 16S ribosomal RNA
Rfam family: Bacterial small subunit ribosomal RNA
Source: RNAcentral